GUGCUUGCUUCGGCAGCACAUAUACUAAAAACUGGAAUGAGAUGGAGAAGAUUAGCACGGCCCCUGUGCAAGGAUGACAGGGAGAUUUGUGAAGUGUUCCAUAUUUUU
Mesoplodon densirostris (Blainville's beaked whale) is the source of this 108-nucleotide small nuclear RNA. Lineage: Eukaryota; Metazoa; Chordata; Mammalia; Artiodactyla; Ziphiidae. The record is from RefSeq and is a predicted model, not a curated record.